Long non-coding RNA from Mytilus californianus (California mussel), 707 nucleotides. RefSeq lists it as uncharacterized. NCBI's taxonomy places the organism in Eukaryota, Metazoa, Mollusca, Bivalvia, Mytilida, Mytilidae. The transcript is spliced from 2 exons. The record is from RefSeq and is a predicted model, not a curated record.
GAUUAGUCAGCUAUAUUUUCAACUGUGAAAAACGACUUUCUUUUAAAAGAUUGAUGUGUACAAGACGAAGGAUUAUAUAGAUAGAAAAUAUUACUACUCUACACCAGUACACUUAUCCUAACACAAAAAUAACAAUGAGGUUUCAUCAGUAGGUCGUUACUUUAAUUUUGCUCUUUGCCGUCUUCGGGGAUGUUGGUAAUUUCAUUAAUUCGGUAUGGAAUGGACAAGAAAUGAUUUCACCAAAUUCUGCUCUAAUAUUUUCUGGAGCAAAAGCUGUCUGGGGACAUGUGGCAAAGGCAGUGGUCCGAGGCGUGGCAAAGAGCAUGGCGAAGAAAGGGAAGAAGAAUGGAAGAAGUGAACACACCAAAAACCAAAGACCAAGUACAAAAGGAAAGCACGAAAAAGGACAGAGUAGAAAGCAAAAUGACCAAAACCGAGCAAAUGGGAAGAAACAAAAAGGAGGAAAAGAUGGAAGUAAAAAAAGGGGGAAAAAUAAGUUUAAAUCGAACGUAUCUUUGAUGAAGAAAUUGUUUAAAAGUUAUUAUAUACCACACAAUAAAAUAACACAUAUAGAAUAGGUUAUCAAGAAAACAAUGUGUCAUAAGAGUGUACUGUGGCAAUGUGAAAGGUUAGAACUUAAUAUUACAAAGCAACAUUAGCUCUAAACGAAGAUCCUUCAAGUGUCUAAAAUAAAGGAAGAUUUAACU